This 328-nucleotide small nuclear RNA is filed under the name Microtus ochrogaster (prairie vole). Its description in RNAcentral is "7SK RNA (ENSMOCG00000007229.1)". It matches the Rfam family "7SK RNA". Rfam says of the family: 7SK was discovered as an abundant small nuclear RNA in the mid-70s but a possible function has only recently been suggested. Two independent studies have found that 7SK RNA binds the CDK9/cyclin T complex (known as elongation factor P-TEFb). The record is from RNAcentral. Lineage: Eukaryota; Metazoa; Chordata; Mammalia; Rodentia; Cricetidae.
UGCAGUGAGGGUUAUAUGACCGAGAUAUUUGUUACCCCAUUGUUCACCAGGGUUCUAUUCGCUAAUCUGGCUACCCAGAUGGAUGUCCACUUCUACCAUCACCAUCCCAUAUGAGUCUCUCCUGAAGCUCUGUGCUUUGUGGAAGAGGAAAUAGUUUCCUGAAGAGAAGAGAACUGGUCUCUGAUCAAGAGUAUAUAAGUACCUCUAUUCUCCAGUUAGAACCUUCAAACAAGAUCUCAAGGUCCUUUUGUUCACAUAUUAAAGUACAUUUCUCCAUGUUUCCAACUCUGAACCUAAAGUAUAAAUUUGAGAAAAUAUUUGUGAUUUU